RNAcentral lists this transfer RNA (124 nucleotides) under Indotyphlops braminus (Brahminy blind snake). RNAcentral's name for it is "tRNA-Leu". The stretch from base 51 to 124 matches the Rfam family "tRNA". From Rfam's summary of the family: Transfer RNA (tRNA) molecules are approximately 80 nucleotides in length. Their secondary structure includes four short double-helical elements and three loops (D, anti-codon, and T loops). Lineage: Eukaryota; Metazoa; Chordata; Lepidosauria; Squamata; Typhlopidae. The record is from RNAcentral.
CCCCCAAAAUUUUCAGGCAAGGAAUAGACGGCCCCCAGAUACAGGGGCACAUUAGGGUGGCAGAGCCAGGUAAUGCAUUAAGACUUAAAAUCCUAUUACAGGUGUUCAAAUCACCUCCCUACUA